GAUGAAGAACGCAGCGAAAUGCGAUAACUAAUGUGAAUUGCAGAAUUCAGUGAAUCAUCGAGUCUUUGAACGCACAUUGCGCCCCCUGGUAUUCCGGGGGGCAUGCCUGUCCGAGCGUCAUUGCUGCCCUCAAGCACGGCUUGUGUGUUGGGCUCCGUCCCCCCGGGGACGGGCCCGAAAGGCAGCGGCGGCACCGAGUCCGGUCCUCGAGCGUAUGGGGCUUUGUCACCCGCUCUGUAGGCCCGGCCGGCGCCAGCCGACAACCCAUCAUCCAUUUCAGGUUGACCUCGGAUCAGGUAGGGAUACCCGCUGAACUUAAGCAUAUCAAUAAGCGGAGGA
RNAcentral lists this unclassified non-coding RNA (339 nucleotides) under soil metagenome. Its description in RNAcentral is "partial contains 5.8S ribosomal RNA, internal transcribed spacer 2, and large subunit ribosomal RNA". The stretch from base 1 to 120 matches the Rfam family "5.8S ribosomal RNA", at positions 35 to 154 of the family's 154-position model. The record is from RNAcentral.